Non-coding RNA from Paramuricea clavata, 227 nucleotides. Lineage: Eukaryota; Metazoa; Cnidaria; Anthozoa; Malacalcyonacea; Plexauridae. The record is from the annotation of a GenBank genome assembly.
CACAGAAAACGCAUGCAUACUGUGGUGCGCAUGUCAAGUAGCGACAAUAACAAAAAAUGUAAACAAUACUUACUUGACUAAAAAAUUACUGUAGGGCCCCUUUAAAAAAAAAAUAUUUCCAACCAUCAAGUGAGAAAAAAAAAAUUUCUUCUAUAGGUGUACAAAAAAAAAUAUAUUGCCUCUUAGAAAAUCCCCCCCCCCCAUCACUUUUCUAAUGGUCCGUCCCU